UACGGAGGGGGCUAGCGUUGUUCGGAAUUACUGGGCGUAAAGCGCACGUAGGCGGCUUUGUAAGUUAGAGGUGAAAUCCCGGGGCUCAACCCCGGAACUGCCUUUGAUACUGGGUAUCUCGAGUCCGGAAGAGGUGAGUGGAAUUCCGAGUGUAGAGGUGAAAUUCGUAGAUAUUCGGAGGAACACCAGUGGCGAAGGCGGCUCACUGGUCCGGUACUGACGCUGAGGUGCGAAAGCGUGGGGAGCAAACAGG
RNAcentral lists this ribosomal RNA (253 nucleotides) under uncultured bacterium. Its description in RNAcentral is "partial 16S ribosomal RNA". It matches the Rfam family "Bacterial small subunit ribosomal RNA", at positions 524 to 776 of the family's 1533-position model. The record is from RNAcentral.